Molecule: ribosomal RNA, 253 nt
Filed under: uncultured bacterium
Lineage: Bacteria
Description: partial 16S ribosomal RNA
Rfam family: Bacterial small subunit ribosomal RNA
Source: RNAcentral
UACGUAGGGCGCAAGCGUUAUCCGGAAUUAUUGGGCGUAAAGAGCUCGUAGGCGGUUUGUCGCGUCUGCCGUGAAAGUCCGGGGCUCAACUCCGGAUCUGCGGUGGGUACGGGCAGACUAGAGUGAUGUAGGGGAGACUGGAAUUCCUGGUGUAGCGGUGAAAUGCGCAGAUAUCAGGAGGAACACCGGUGGCGAAGGCGGUUCUCUGGGCCUGAUCUGACGCUGAGGAGCGAAAGCGUGGGGAGCGAACAGG